UGCACAUUGGGACCGAACUCGAGCGUGACUACAAUCCAAGCGCGUUCACACGCUCACGCGAGUGCACAUCGACGCCAACUGGUGCGCGUGUGAGUGACUCCCACGCGUUGUCUCUCGUCGCUUUUCUUCUCGACUGCGACAGGAGCUCUUCAGGGAAGGCCCGAAUCUGAGAGCGACGGGAACGAGGCGCCUCGGCCACACUCGCAUCGCAACUUUACACUCUUCGCGAUGCGCGCCGCUUUCCGUCUGGCGGCGCAGUCGUUUCGCCUCUGUCCUGCGCCUGGUGUAGCUUCAUCCCUCUCACUGAGCACUGUAGCGUCCUCCGCGUUCCGCGGCUCCCUUCUUGUUACCGCUCGAAGCUUUGCCAAGGUCUCGUCUGUUCAGGGCAAGAUCGAGGUGCCUCCUGGUGGGUUUGUGACGGCGGACGUGAGGAUCGACAUGAACGCUAGCUUUGGCGGCUCCUUUGCCCGCGGUGUGUUUGCGGAGCGAGAGAUUGGUUACGGCCGUGAGGUCAUGAAUCUGCCCGCCUACUGCAUGUACAUCAGCGAAAACGACCGCCAGCCACUGCGGGAACAGGUGCUUAUCAUGACGAAGGAGAUCUUCAGCAAAGUCGUCUACGGAACGCCCCAGGAACAGCAGUACGUCAAGCACCGCAUCCUCUCGCUCAUGUCCGGGGGAUUUUCCUACUUUACUCGCGAGCGCGACGUUUUUGACUUUGCGGAGGAGGUGCGUGCUCCCGGGGCCGACGGAGCCUUCCGCAACGGCUGCAGCUGCCUGAUGAGCGGCGAAUUUUCCUCUUACGAUCUGCAGAAACUUCCCCUCAUCGUCGAGUUCAACCGCUUCGAGGUAGACUACCGUGGCCGCCGCGGCAUCUGCCUCUUCCCCGAGGCCUCGUACCUGAACCACAGCUGCGAGCCGAACGUUGAGCUUUCCAUUACGUACAACAGCAUCAAAAACAACUUUUUCCUCAGCGCCCGCGCGGUGCGGCCCAUUCUCGAAGGCGAGGAGCUCUUUAUCAACUACAUGCCGGGCAACAACCUCCCUCUCUCGCGUCUGGCGUUGGCCAUGAAGAAGCGCUGGGGGUUUGAAUGUUCCUGCGUCAAGUGCAAGAGCCGCGCAGUGGGCGCCGUGACCAUUGUUUUUGUCGUUCUUCUGAUCCCCAUCAUUGUGUACAUCCGCCGCUUUAUUGUGGAGCGGACAAAGGAGAAGCACCGCAGCCUGUGACAGUCGAGGGGUAGCGGCUAUGGGAGGAAUGUGGACCGGAGGCGAGGAUGGCCGAGGCCUUUGGUGGGCUGACGAUUUUUGCGAUGCCCACGGCCGUCAGUGAGCCGUGUCCCCGGCAGAGACGAGAUGGCGUGCAUGUCGCUCCUGUCUGAGACAGCGCCAUACUACACAGUUUUGCGAGGUUUCGUUGUGAGUUGUUCUUCUUACAGGCCUACGUUUCGUGAAGUCGAGUUACAUCGAAAACAGAAU
RNAcentral lists this unclassified non-coding RNA (1473 nucleotides) under Leishmania donovani. RNAcentral's name for it is "gene:LdHU3.27.0210(CDS-product:SET_domain_contain ing_protein_putative)". Lineage: Eukaryota; Euglenozoa; Kinetoplastea; Trypanosomatida; Trypanosomatidae. The record is from RNAcentral.